UAAAGAUGGAACCUGACCAAAGACAGGGCA
Molecule: non-coding RNA, 30 nt
Filed under: Mus musculus (house mouse)
Lineage: Eukaryota; Metazoa; Chordata; Mammalia; Rodentia; Muridae
Source: RNAcentral